CUGUUUAAGGGAUUAAACCUGAUGAACCUAAAUUUCUGAAUGGAGAAAUUCAGCAUCUUUUUGUAGUAAUUAUAAAAUGGUGUGCACUUUUCUCCUAGUAAGACGAUGCGAUCCAUUAGGAACAUUUCGGUGUGUUCUGUAUAUAGGAAUGGUGUAGGAGUUUGUUCUUUUUGUGAGUACCAUGGAUUUGUUUUUAUGGGAAAACGUUCAAACUAUGCCGUUUCUUACAGAUACCUGAUGGUUAAAAAAUGCUUCAUUUGAUGCUACGGCAUCUGUAUGUCUUGUACAAUACAAUGAAUGCAUGAUCAGCAUCGUUUUAGAUUUGGGAUACCAUCAGGACCCGUCUUGAAA
This 351-nucleotide ribosomal RNA is filed under the name Camponotus sericeiventris. RNAcentral's name for it is "partial 28S ribosomal RNA". The record is from RNAcentral. Lineage: Eukaryota; Metazoa; Arthropoda; Insecta; Hymenoptera; Formicidae.